CUAUGCGCCUUGCCAGCCCGCUCAGUCAGAGUUUGAUCCUGGCUCAGGAUGAACGCUGGCGGCGUGCCUAAUACAUGCAAGUCGAACGCUUUGUGGUUCAACUGAUUUGAAGAGCUUGCUCAGAUAUGACGAUGGACAUUGCAAAGAGUGGCGAACGGGUGAGUAACACGUGGGAAACCUACCUCUUAGCAGGGGAUAACAUUUGGAAACAGAUGCUAAUACCGUAUAACAAUAGCAACCGCAUGGUUGCUACUUAAAAGAUGGUUCUGCUAUCACUAAGAGAUGGUCCCGCGGUGCAUUAGUUAGUUGGUGAGGUAAUGGCUCACCAAGACGAUGAUGCAUAGCCGAGUUGAGAGACUGAUCGGCCACAAUGGGACUGAGACACGGCCCAU
This 392-nucleotide ribosomal RNA is filed under the name uncultured bacterium. Its description in RNAcentral is "bacterial SSU rRNA". It matches the Rfam family "Bacterial small subunit ribosomal RNA", at positions 1 to 334 of the family's 1533-position model. The record is from RNAcentral.